GACGGUGUAGCUCAGUGGUAGAGUGUGUGCUUAGCAUGCACGAUGUCCUGGGUUCAAUCCCCAGUACCUCUG
Molecule: transfer RNA, 72 nt
Filed under: Camelus bactrianus (Bactrian camel)
Lineage: Eukaryota; Metazoa; Chordata; Mammalia; Artiodactyla; Camelidae
Also listed under: 1 other name
Rfam family: tRNA
About the family: Transfer RNA (tRNA) molecules are approximately 80 nucleotides in length. Their secondary structure includes four short double-helical elements and three loops (D, anti-codon, and T loops).
Source: Rfam by way of RNAcentral